This 1297-nucleotide long non-coding RNA is filed under the name Lathyrus oleraceus (garden pea). RNAcentral describes it as "Pisum sativum (pea) long non-coding RNA (PSAT_LNC033447)". The record is from RNAcentral. Lineage: Eukaryota; Viridiplantae; Streptophyta; Magnoliopsida; Fabales; Fabaceae.
AACUUUGAACCCUAGAAAUCCCAAUCAACCCAAAAUCAGUAUGAAACAAACAAUUAUUAUAUAGGAAUAGUCAUCAACAAUAAUACGACUACAAUCACACAAGAAAAACAAAAGAAGAAAGCCUAAGGGCACCAAAUUGGCGAACAAGAAACUCUGGUAUGAUGGUGGGGACUCUAGAACGGUGGCUCCUUUUUCAAGUACAAUACUUUGUUAUACUUCUCUCUGUUUCGUGCUUCUGAAUUCUUUCCUCCUUCUAUUCUACUUUCCUUCUUCUUCUUCAAGUAUCCCUGAGUUUUAUUGUUAUUAUUACUCCGGUAAGGUUGUGCGUAGAAGGCCAGGCUCUGAGUAAUCUCAGGUUCUAGGGAUGAACCUGAGAAACUCCCUAACUUUUAGCUUUGGUGUGAGGUGUGGUGAGAUAGAUUUUGAUCAUACUAGGAUUAAGGUAAUUGUUUCAUGUCCUUUAGUGAUAUUGAAGUUGGUGAUUUAUAGUGUGAAAUGGGUGAGGGAUUGAGGAGAAAAUAGAGGGAAAACGUGAGGUUGUUAUGAGGACUUUUGUAGGGAGAAAGAGUGACUUGUGAGGAUGGGAUUAAGGGUUAAGAUGAUUUUGUUUGGAUGAAUUACUUGUGUUUGUUGAAAUUGUUAUGAAAUGAAGAUGAAAUUUGGUUUUGUUUCAAAUGAAAAUGUAAGUAUGUUUUGCAUAGUAUGUGAUUUUGGUGUGGUCCUCAAACUUCUUCAUGUAUGUACGUACGUAUGUAUGUAUCGUGUAUGGUUUGUAUGAGUCACACUUUUCUUGUUCAGUUGAUGCUUACACUUCAUUUCUGUUUGUUUUGGCAAAGUUGAUGUAUGUGGUAUGAUGGUGAAUGCUCACGCCCUGGUCAUACUCUCUUUUGUAGGAUGUCUUGUAUUGAUGAUGAGGUGAUGGUGGAUAUACAUGAUGAUGAUGAUGGGCACAAGAAAGGGAAGAUGAUGAGCACAUAAAGAGCACGUGGAAAAGGAAUGUCGUCAAGUUUGGAGUUCUCGUUGAAUUUUAAUUUCUUCUUUUUUGUAAUAUUUUUUAGUACUGGAAUAUAACAUCUAAAUAAUAACAAACUUAUUCUACCAUCUUUUUUGCAUUUUUUAAUACCAAUAUUUUUAUAAAGUGACUUAUUAAUAAAAACAAACUUAUUUUUAACAUUUUUUUCAUGGUCUAAAAUAGACAUGUGAUGUAAGUAAAUACCAAAUGUAUUCUUUGUAUUAAUAUGAUAUCUCAAAAAAUAAUGAAAAGAAAAAUAAUUUAAGUAAACUCCAUUUAAAUGAC